RNAcentral lists this long non-coding RNA (823 nucleotides) under Homo sapiens (human). RNAcentral describes it as "non-protein coding lnc-DCTD-7:5". Lineage: Eukaryota; Metazoa; Chordata; Mammalia; Primates; Hominidae. The record is from RNAcentral.
AUGGCCAUGGGCAGCAGCGGUGGUGGUGGUAGAGGUGGAGAUGGAGUCCUGGAUAGGAGGACUGGGUGUUGUUCCUGGGCAGUGCAGGCCAGAGUGAUGAUUGUGACGUUUGGAAUGAUACAGCAUUGAUAGAAGCUUAUGAUAAAGCCAUGCUUCAUUUAAGCCACCAUUCACAAGAAUGACAUUUGUGAAACUUCAGAUAACCAAAUGUCACACCUAAAAGAAAACCCAAGAAGAAUAAGAGCCAAAAAUAGAAUAUGCAACUCUCUUGAAACACAGGAAAGCUGGUGGCGCAUGUUCUGCCAUUAGGUCAGAAGACAGCUGCCUUCACCCAGCUACAUCAUUGCUUCAGUUGAUUUUAACGGAAAAACCCAUGUUGCGGUGUACACUGGAUAUGGAAAUGGAGAAGAGCAAAAUCUGCCUGAUCUACUACUUUCCCCAACCUCUGAAGUAGCUAAUAAUAUAGAAUAGAACACUCGAGAGAAUGAAAGUCAAGUUCCAAUGGAUGAAAAUGAGAACUCCAGGUCUCCUGGAAAUAAACCAAAUAACACCAAAUCAAAAGCUACUCCAUGAAACUCUUUUCUCCUUCUGCCACCCCCAUGCCAGGGUCAGGACUGAGACCAGGAAAGCCAGGUCUAAAAUUCAAUGUUCCUCCACCAGCACCCCAUUUCCUGUCAUGCUGGCUGCCUCCAUUUCCCUCUGGACCAUCAGUAAUUCCUCCACUCCCACCUCUCAUAUGUCCAGAGUCUCUUAAUGAUGCUUUGCUUUGGGAAGUGUGAUCAUCUCUUGGUACCUAACUGGCUAUCAUACUGGCUAUUAUAUG